This 1423-nucleotide ribosomal RNA is filed under the name metagenome. RNAcentral describes it as "bacterial LSU rRNA". It matches the Rfam family "Bacterial large subunit ribosomal RNA", at positions 1136 to 2413 of the family's 2925-position model. The record is from RNAcentral.
CCUAGCUCACUGGUCAAGUGGUUCCGCGCCGACAAUGUAGCGGGGCUCAAGCACACCGCCGAAGCCGUGGCACUCACACGUAUAACUUCGCCCGUCUCCCGCGUGGGGUCGGGUGCAGGUGUGUGGGUGGGUAGGGGAGCGUCGUGCCACCAGGGAAGCAGCGGAGUGAUCCAGCUGUGGAGGUGGCACGAGUGAGAAUGCAGGCAUGAGUAGCGAAAGCAGGGUGAGAAACCCUGCCGCCGGAUGACCAAGGGUUCCAGGGCCAGGCUAAUCCGCCCUGGGUGAGUCGGGACCUAAGGCGAGGCCGAGAGGCGUAGUCGAUGGACAACGGGUUGAUAUUCCCGUACCCGCGAAGGAGCGUCCCUGACGAACCUCGCUGUGCUAACCACCUGCGAACCGUGAUCCCUUCGGGGUGAUCGGAACGUGGCUGGGAACCUGGCGGGUAGUAGUCAAGCGAUGGGGUGACGCAGGAGGGUAGCUGAUCCCGGCCGGUGGUUGUGCCGGGGUAAGCGUGUAGGGCGAGGCAUAGGCAAAUCCGUGCCUCAUGAGCCUGAGACGUGAUGCCGAGACGUGUCAGUCGAAGUCAGUGAUCCCAUGCUGCCAAGAAAAGCCUCUAGCGAGCUCCCAGCGGCCCGUACCCCAAACCGACACAGGUGGUCAGGUAGAGAAUACCGAGGCGAUCGGGCGAACUGUGGUUAAGGAACUCGGCAAAAUACCCCCGUAACUUCGGGAGAAGGGGGGCCACAAGCCGUCAAACCCUACGCGGGUGGCAGCGGAAGGUGGCCGCAGAGACCAGGGGGAAGCGACUGUUUACUAAAAACACAGGUCCGUGCGAAGUUGAAAAACGAUGUAUACGGACUGACGCCUGCCCGGUGCUGGAACGUUAAGGGGACCGGUUAGCCCGCAAGGGCGAAGCUGAGAACUUAAGCGCCAGUAAACGGCGGUGGUAACUAUAACCAUCCUAAGGUAGCGAAAUUCCUUGUCGGGUAAGUUCCGACCUGCACGAAUGGCGUAACGACUUCCCUACUGUCUCAACCACAGGCCCGGCGAAAUUGCAGUACGAGUAAAGAUGCUCGUUACGCGCGGAAGGACGGAAAGACCCCGGGACCUUCACUACAGCUUGACAUUGGUACUCGAAUCCAAUUGUGUAGGAUAGGUGGGAGACUUUGAAGCUGCGACGCCAGUCGCGGUGGAGUCAAUCUUGAAAUACCACUCUGUUGAAUUUGGGUAUCUAACCUCGAACCGUGACCCGGUUCAGGGACAGUGUCUGGUGGGUAGUUUAACUGGGGCGGUUGCCUCCCAAAAUGUAACGGAGGCGCCCAAAGGUUCCCUCAACCUGGUUGGCAAUCAGGUGUUGAGUGCAAGUACACAAGGGGGCUUGACUGUGAGACUGACAGGUCGAGCAGGGACGAAAGUCGGGACU